UGGGGAAUAUUGGGCAAUGGGGGGAACCCUGACCCAGCAACGCCGCGUGAAGGAAGAAGGUUUUCGGAUUGUAAACCUCUGUCCUUGGUGAAGAAAGAGAUGACGGUAGCCAAGGAGGAAGCCCCGGCUAACUACGUGCCAGCAGCCGCGGUAAUACGUAGGUGGCGAGCGUUAUCCGGAAUUACUGGGCGUAAAGGGCACGCAGGCGGCCAUUCAAGUCUGACGUGAAAGCUCCUGGCUUAACUGGGAGAGGUCGUUGGAGACUGAGUGGCUUGAGGCGAUGAGAGGGGUGCGGAAUUCCCGGUGUAGUGGUGGAAUGCGUAGAUAUCGGGAGGAACACCAGUGGCGAAAGCGGCGCCCUAGCAUUGGCCUGACGCUCAUGUGCGAAAGCGUGGGGAGCGAACGGG
This 407-nucleotide ribosomal RNA is filed under the name uncultured prokaryote. RNAcentral describes it as "bacterial SSU rRNA". It matches the Rfam family "Bacterial small subunit ribosomal RNA", at positions 355 to 776 of the family's 1533-position model. The record is from RNAcentral.